CUUAUAACAUACUUUUCAACUCUCAGUUUUCAGAGAUACCUAUCAGGCUGAUUUAUAAUUACAGGUUUAUACCUGGACUUUAUGACCAAAAAAAUAGGUUAGAAAAGCUCUUCACAAUUACCUGACUAAUUAGUGACUAAUUUGUCACCACUAAACCCAGUGUUCUUUUCAGCACUUUUACUUGGUUUCCCUCAUCUUGCUUGGUGGACUGGAAAAACUAAUAUUCUUUCUUCUGAGCAGACUCUCAUAAAUACUGAAUUUGUUAAAACAAGCAAGUAAAAAGGCCACUUUUUACAGAGACUUU
This 304-nucleotide long non-coding RNA is filed under the name Bos taurus (domestic cattle). RNAcentral's name for it is "long non-coding RNA NONBTAT017442". Lineage: Eukaryota; Metazoa; Chordata; Mammalia; Artiodactyla; Bovidae. The record is from RNAcentral.